RNAcentral lists this ribosomal RNA (468 nucleotides) under uncultured bacterium. RNAcentral's name for it is "partial 16S ribosomal RNA". It matches the Rfam family "Bacterial small subunit ribosomal RNA", at positions 28 to 507 of the family's 1533-position model. The record is from RNAcentral.
GACGAACGCUGGCGGCGUGCUUAACACAUGCAAGUCGAACGGAAAGGCCCUGCUUUUGUGGGGUGCUCGAGUGGCGAACGGGUGAGUAACACGUGAGUAACCUGCCCUUGACUUUGGGAUAACUUCAGGAAACUGGGGCUAAUACCGGAUAGGAGCUCCUGCUGCAUGGUGGGGGUUGGAAAGUUUCGGCGGGUGGGGAUGGACUCGCGGCUUAUCAGCUUGUUGGUGGGGUAGUGGCUUACCAAGGCUUUGACGGGUAGCCGGCCUGAGAGGGUGACCGGCCACAUUGGGACUGAGGUACGGCCCAGACGCCUACGGGAGGCAGCAGGGGGGAAUAUUGCACAAUGGGCGGAAGCCUGAUGCAGCAACGCCGCGUGCGGGAUGACGGCCUUCGGGUUGUAAACCGCUUUCGCCUGUGACGAAGCGUGAGUGACGGUAAUGGGUAAAGAAGCACCGGCUAACUACGUG